This 572-nucleotide ribosomal RNA is filed under the name uncultured bacterium. Its description in RNAcentral is "bacterial SSU rRNA". It matches the Rfam family "Bacterial small subunit ribosomal RNA", at positions 273 to 842 of the family's 1533-position model. The record is from RNAcentral.
GCGACGAUGCGUAGGGGUUCUGAGAGGAAGGUCCCCCACACUGGUACUGAGACACGGACCAGACUCCUACGGGAGGCAGCAGUGAGGAAUAUUGGUCAAUGGCCGCAGGGCUGAACCAGCCAAGUCGCGUGAGGGAUGACGGUCCUAUGGAUUGUAAACCUCUUUUGUCAGGGAGCAAAGGGCGCCACGUGUGGCGCUUUGCGAGUACCUGAAGAAAAAGCAUCGGCUAACUCCGUGCCAGCAGCCGCGGUAAUACGGAGGAUGCGAGCGUUAUCCGGAUUUAUUGGGUUUAAAGGGUGCGCAGGCGGAAUGUCAAGUCAGCGGUAAAAUUUCGGGGCUCAACCCCGUCGUGCCGUUGAAACUGGCGUUCUUGAGUGAGCGAGAAGUAUGCGGAAUGCGUGGUGUAGCGGUGAAAUGCAUAGAUAUCACGCAGAACUCCGAUUGCGAAGGCAGCAUACCGGCGCUCAACUGACGCUCAUGCACGAAAGCGUGGGUAUCGAACAGGAUUAGAUACCCUGGUAGUCCACGCAGUAAACGAUGAAUACUAACUGUCCGGGCAGAAUGAUGCCUGG